Long non-coding RNA from Pyrus x bretschneideri (Chinese white pear), 625 nucleotides. RefSeq lists it as uncharacterized. The transcript is spliced from 3 exons. The record is from RefSeq and is a predicted model, not a curated record. Lineage: Eukaryota; Viridiplantae; Streptophyta; Magnoliopsida; Rosales; Rosaceae.
GGGCGUCAAAUUUUUGCCAAAAUCAACAAGUUUUUCACAAUUAAAUUGCCGGUAACAAUUUUUAAAUUGUUUUAGACUCAGACGAAAAAUAUAUUCAUUUAAAAAUUAUGUUAAUAUAUAAAUAAUUAAUUACUCUAAACCCUAUUACUCCAUUUCUCUUCUUCCUGCGCCGCAUGAUCUCUGUCACCAGAUUGUUUUUUUUCCCUUCUUCCUCCCUCUGCCGUCCCUCCUCCUUCCACCUCUCCUGCACUAUGUAUCCCCCCCGAGAAAGUGAAGGAAAUAUCGAAAGAAAGGUUAAUUUGAGGAUGGAAGAGGUUGAAGUGCAGUUGGUUAUAUAUUCCUGAAUCGAUAUGUUUAAAGUCCUUCACAAAAAAUUUUAUUGUAGAGUUGCUAAUUGAGAAAGAACGCAAGUUGAAAUCUUUCGUCGUGCAUGGAAGUUAAGAGAAGAAACGGUUUCGAGAUUUAUUCUAGACAACUUCAUCAGAGGUUAAGAACAAGGGAUUGAAGAAAAGGUUUAUUUUUCUGGAGAAGAUGAAGAGUUGUGUUGGGUUUUGUAACAGAUGAGAACAGGGAAUUAUUCAAAAGAAAUUAUUUGUCAACCAAAUAAAUAAUAUUUUAUUGAUUA